RNAcentral lists this ribosomal RNA (497 nucleotides) under uncultured bacterium. Its description in RNAcentral is "partial 16S ribosomal RNA". It matches the Rfam family "Bacterial small subunit ribosomal RNA", at positions 28 to 507 of the family's 1533-position model. The record is from RNAcentral.
GACGAACGCUGGCGGCGUGCCUAAUACAUGCAAGUUGAGCGAUGAAGCUUGGUGCUUGCCCCAAUUUGAAGAGCAGCGAGCGGGUGAGUAACGCGUGGGGAAUCUGCCUUUGAGCGGGGGACAACAUUUGGAAACGAAUGCUAAUACCGCAUAACAACUUUAAACAUAAGUUUUAAGUUUGAAAGAUGCAAUUGCAUCACUCAAAGAUGAUCCCGCGUUGUAUUAGCUAGUUGGUGAGGUAAAGGCUCACCAAGGCGAUGAUACAUAGCCGACCUGAGAGGGUGAUCGGCCACAUUGGGACUGAGACACGGCCCAAACUCCUACGGGAGGCAGCAGUAGGGAAUCUUCGGCAAUGGACGAAAGUCUGACCGAGCAACGCCGCGUGAGUGAAGAAGGUUUUCGGAUCGUAAAACUCUGUUGGUAGAGAAGAACGUUGGUGAGAGUGGAAAGCUCAUCAAGUGACGGUAACUACCCAGAAAGGGACGGCUAACUACGUG